Paramisgurnus dabryanus is the source of this 1028-nucleotide long non-coding RNA. RefSeq lists it as uncharacterized. The record is from RefSeq and is a predicted model, not a curated record. Lineage: Eukaryota; Metazoa; Chordata; Actinopteri; Cypriniformes; Cobitidae.
UUCAUUAUUUGACCGUAUUUCAAAGAUAAACAAAAUCCAGUUACAACUCCGAACCGCUAGAUGGCAGCAGUACACCAACACGGGGCCAAAUCUCACGAGAAAGAUUUCCGCUGUUUGAAAAGCAACAACAUCAGCGAGCAGCCACGAGGAAAGCAUGUACCACACUCGUUUGGUCUUGUGUCAAAGCUGUGCGAAACUGGAGGGAGAAACUUGAGAGACCGUGCCGGAAGAAUGCUGGACAGAGUUCACUAAAAUUAAUUAAUUUCAAAGUUCAACAUGAAUGGUGGUGGUCCACUGCAGAAGCAAGCAUUUGAAAAAACAUCACUUCUCAGUUAUUAAAGAUGCUGUGUUGAACAACUUCCCAGCAGCAACAGAACUGGAACUGAAGGAUGCAAUGGGGGCAUUUCAAACAGGCACCAGGGAGCAUGGGGAGGGGGUAUAGAAAUUAGUACAAUUAAUAAGUUGACGUGAACUGAAGAUAGUUUGUUAAUGUUUAGAUGUUAUUUCAUUUUUAAAAUUGUAUUUUGUUAUAUAUGCUUUUAUUUUGUUACUGUUUUUAUUCUUUUUGUUAAAAGUAGUUUUUCUUCAUUUUGUCUUAUCUGAAUUUCUAUUGUAUUAACAAUAUUUUUUGUAAUAAAUUGCAUGAUUGCAUGUUUAUGAGAACCUUUUUUAAUGAAUUAAAAAGAAUUCUUUAGCCAUUCUUUUGUUCUUUAUUAGACCCACACGUGUAGUCGUUUAAUAGCCGUCUAUUUAACGGCUAGUCUAUUCUUGGGCUAUGAUAGACGUCUACUAGAUUUUCACUGACAGCCCAAAAUUAGCCUUGUUUUAGCCUAGACCCACAUUCACCGUCUAUUAGACGUAUAUAUGUAGACGUUUAAUAGCCGUCUAUUUGAUGACUAGUCUAUUUCUUGGGCUAUGAUAGACGUCUACUAGAUUUUCACUGACAGCCCAAAAUUAGCCUUGUUUUAGCCUAGACGUCAGGGGGGUGUUUAGACGGCUACUAGACGUCUAUUAGCCGCAAAAUUGCU